AAGAAGCUGAAUAUGUUCUAUGCAGUCACUCCAUGUCAAAAACUCAUUGAAAUGGACCAUGUAUUCAAGUUUCAUACUUUCUAUAAUAAACUCAUGUCUACAGAGAAGCUGCUGAUGCUCUGAGGGCAUAGUAGAAGGAUUAUGUGGUCCAAAUGUGUAGUGUGAACAACAAACACGACCACCCCCCCAUAAACCAAUGUGUCUUGACCCAUAGCAUACUGUGCAUGCUGUUGAGUAUUGGGUAUUCCUGUUACAAAGCAAAGAGAUCUGGACAGCAGAAGUACAAAUCUGCUUAAAGAGCAUUGUGGAUGCCAACUUGGUUACUAUAUUUUAAAAAAAGAAGACAGAAGGAGAUUCCUGGGCUGACAGAUACUACUGUGUAUUGGUAUUUGGGACCCAAAAAUUAGUAGAAUCCUAAACAUUUUCAAUAUUUCUAAAGAAGAUGGCAUUUGCCAAUGUGUUAUCAGAAAGCCCUUAAACACAGAAGAUUCAAAAUCAUCCAAGAUUCUGAGUUGUGUUAUUCCACACAUCCUACAACACAAAUACCAAUGUUUGCUCCCAUAGUACAACACA
Molecule: long non-coding RNA, 573 nt
Filed under: Mus musculus (house mouse)
Lineage: Eukaryota; Metazoa; Chordata; Mammalia; Rodentia; Muridae
Description: long non-coding RNA chr2:36768687-36769260
Source: RNAcentral